This 446-nucleotide ribosomal RNA is filed under the name uncultured bacterium. RNAcentral's name for it is "partial 16S ribosomal RNA". It matches the Rfam family "Bacterial small subunit ribosomal RNA", at positions 338 to 795 of the family's 1533-position model. The record is from RNAcentral.
CCUACGGGUGGCAGCAGUCGAGAAUUAUUCACAAUGGGGGAAACCCUGAUGGUGCGACGCCGCGUGGGGGAAUGAAGGUCUUCGGAUUGUAAACCCCUGUCAUGUGGGAGCAAAUUAAAAAGAUAGUACCCCAAGAGGAAGCGACGGCUAACUCUGUGCCAGCAGCCGCGGUAAUACAGAGGUCUCAAGCGUUGUUCGGAAUCACUGGGCGUAAAGCGUGCGUAGGCUGUUUCGUAAGUCGUGUGUGAAAGGCGCGGGCUCAACCCGCGGACGGCACAUGAUACUGCGAGACUAGAGUAAUGGAGGGGGAACCGGAAUUCUCGGUGUAGCAGUGAAAUGCGGAGAUAUCGAGAGGAACACUCGUGGCGAAGGCGGGUUCCUGGACAUUAACUGACGCUGAGGCACGAAGGCCAGGGGAGCGAAAGGGAUUAGAUACCCCAGUAGUC